Long non-coding RNA from Anthonomus grandis grandis, 359 nucleotides. RefSeq lists it as uncharacterized. Lineage: Eukaryota; Metazoa; Arthropoda; Insecta; Coleoptera; Curculionidae. The record is from RefSeq and is a predicted model, not a curated record. The transcript is spliced from 2 exons.
AAAUGUAAUUGCGAAAUUACCAAAUUUUCGGUUCAGGUAAAACCAGACACCAGCCACCAGCAAACAAUUUGUUAUAAGGCUUUGUCAAAUCUGACGUACAGCCGAAUACAAGAAAUGUUUUUUUUUUCGUUUUAUCAAUCUCACAACCAUACAUUCAAAAUAAUUCCCGAUUGCUCCUUGUCUUCAUCCAAAUACUUCAUAGGAAACUGGUUACUAAAGGAAAAAGCUUACUAAGCUGGCUGCUGCAUGCAUGAUUCUCAUGAUUUUUAUAAAUUUUUUUUAGCUCUGGCUGGUAUUUAGAAUAAAGUAAAAAAAUGUUUAUAUAAGAUUAUAAUAAAGAAUGUAAAAAAAAUUUAAAA